Molecule: ribosomal RNA, 460 nt
Filed under: uncultured bacterium
Lineage: Bacteria
Description: partial 16S ribosomal RNA
Rfam family: Bacterial small subunit ribosomal RNA
Source: RNAcentral
CCUACGGGAGGCAGCAGUGAGGAAUAUUGGUCAAUGGCCGGAAGGCUGAACCAGCCAAGUCGCGUGAGGGAAUAAGGCCCUAUGGGUCGUAAACCUCUUUUGUCAGGGAGCAAAGGCGUCCACGUGUGGACGAGAGGAGAGUACCUGAAGAAAAAGCAUCGGCUAACUCCGUGCCAGCAGCCGCGGUAAUACGGGGUAUGCGAGCGUUAUCCGGUUUUAAUGGGUUAAAGGGGUGCGUAGGCGGAGUGUAAAGUCAGCGGUAAAAUUUCGGGGUUAAACCCCGUCGUGCCGUUGAAACUGGCGCGCUUGAGUGAGUGAGAAGUAAGCGGAAUGCGUGGUGUAGCGGUGAAAUGCAUAGAUAUCACGCAGAACGCCGGUUGCGAAGGCAGCUUACCGGCGCUCAACUGACGCUGAGGCACGAAAGUGCGGGUAGCGAACAGGAUUAGAUACCCGGGUAGUC